AGAUAGUGAUGUAGGUUAGUUGGGUUAGGUUAGAUAGUGAUGUAGGUUAGUUGGGUUAGGUUAGAUAGUGAUGUAGGUUAGCUGGGUUAGGUUAGAUAGUGAUGUAGGUUAGCUGGAUUAGGUUAGAUAGUGAUGUAGGUUAGUUGGGUUAGGUUAGAUAGUGAUGUAGGUUAGCUGGGUUAGGUUAGAUAGUGAUGUAGGUUAGCUGGAUUAGGUUAGAUAGUGAUGUAGGUUAGCUGGGUUAGGUUAGAUAGUGAUGUAGGUUAGUUGGGUUAGGUUAGAUAGUGAUGUAGGUUAGAUGGGUUAGGUUAGAUUGUGAUGUAGGUUAGCUGGGUUAGGUUAGAUAGUGAUGUAGGUUAGCUGGGUUAGGUUAGAUAGUGAUGUAGGUUAGCUGGAUUAGGCUAGAUAGUGAUUUAGGUUAGCUGGGUUAUGUUAGAUAGUGAUGUAGGUUAGCUGGAUUGGGUUAGAUGGUGAUGUAGGUUAGUUGGGUUAGGUUGGAUAGUGAUGUAGGUUAGCUGGGUUAAGUUAGAUAGUGAUGUAGGUUAGCUGGGUUAAGUUAGAUAGUGAUGUAGGUUAGCUGGGUUAGGUUAGAUAGUGAUGUAGGUUAGCUGGGUUAGGUUAGAUAGUGAUGUAGGUUAGCUGGGUUAGGAUAGAUAGUGAUGUAGGUUAGCUGGAUUGGGUUAGAUAGUGAUGUAGGUUAGCUGGGUUAGGUUAGAUAGUGAUGUAGGUUAGCUGGGUUAGGAUAGAUAGUGAUGUAGCUUAGCUGGGUUAGGUUAGAUAGUGAUGUAGGUUAGCUGGGUUAGGUUAGAUAGUGAUGUAGGUUAGCUGGAUUGGGUUAGAUAGUGAUGUAGGUUAGCUGGAUUGGGUUAGAUAGUGAUGUAGGUUAGCUGGGUUAGGUUAGAUAGUGAUGUAGGUUAGCUGGAUUGGGUUAGAUAGUGAUGUAGGUUACACGGGUUAGGUUAGAUAGUGAUGUAGGUUAGCUGGUUAAGGUUAGAUAGUGAUGUAGGUUAGAUGGGUUAGGUUAGAUAGUGAUGUAGGUUAGCUGGGUUAGGUAGUGAUGUAGGUGAGUUGGGUUAGGUUAGAUAGUGAUGUAGGUUAGCUUGGUUAGUUUAGAUAGUGAUGUAGGUUAGCUGGGUUAGGUUAGACAGUAAUGUAGGUUAGCUGGAUUGGGUUAGAUUGUGAUGUAGGUUAGCUGGGUUAGGUUAGAUAGUGAUGUAGGUUAGCUGGGUUAGGUUAGAUAGUGAUGUAGGUUAGCUGGGUUAGGUUAGAUAGUGAUGUAGGUUAGCUGGUUAAGGUUAGAUAGUGAUGUAGGUUAGCUGGGUUAGGUUAGGUAGUGAUGUAGGUUAGCUGGGUUAGGUUUGAUAGUGAUGUAGGUUAGUUGGGUUAGGUUAGAUAGUGAUGUAGGUUAGCUGGGUUAAGUUAGAUAGUGAUGUAGGUUAGCUUGGUUAGGUUAGAUAGUGAUGUAGGUUAGCUGGGUUAGGUUUGAUAGUAUUGUAGGUUAGUUGGGUUAGGUUAGAUAGUGAUGUAGGUUAGCUGGGUUAGGUUAGAUAGUGAUGUAGGUUAGCUGGGUUAGGUUUGAUAGUGAUGUAGGUUAGUUGGGUUAGGUUAGAUGGUGAUGUAGGUUAGCUGGAUUGGGUUAGAUGGUGAUGUAGGUUAGUUGGGUUAGGUUGGAUAGUGAUGUAGGUUAGCUGGGUUAAGUUAGAUAGUGAUGUAGGUUAGCUGGGUUAAGUUAGAUAGUGAUGUAGGUUAGCUGGGUUAGGUUAGAUAGUGAUGUAGGUUAGCUGGGUUAGGAUAGAUAGUGAUGUAGCUUAGCUGGGUUAGGUUAGAUAGUGAUGUAGGUUAGCUGGGUUAGGUUAGAUAGUGAUGUAGGUUAGCUGGAUUGGGUUAGAUAGUGAUGUAGGUUAGCUGGAUUGGGUUAGAUAGUGAUGUAGGUUAGCUGGGUUAGGUUAGAUAGUGAUGUAGGUUAGCUGGGUUAGGUUAGAUAGUAAUGUAGGUUAGCUGGAUUGGGUUAGAUAGUGAUGUAGGUUAAUUGGGUUAGGUUAGAUAGUGAUGUAGGUUAGCUGGGUUAGGUUUGAUAGUGAUGGAGGUUAGUUGGGUUAGGUUAGAUAGUGAUGUAGGUUAGCUGGGUUAAGUUAGAUAGUGAUGUAGGUUAGCUGGGUUUGGUUAGAUAGUGAUGUAGGUUAGCUGGGUUAAGGUUAGAUAGUGAUGUAGGUUAGCUGGGUUAGGUUUGAUAGUGAUGUAGGUUAGUUGGGUUAGGUUAGAUAGUGAUGUAGGUUAGCUGGGUUAGGUUAGAUAGUGAUGUAGGUUAGCUGGGUUAGGUUAGAUAGUGAUGUAGGUUAGCUGGGGUUAAGUUAGAUAGUGAUGUAGGUUAGCUGGGUUAGGUUAGAUAGUGAUGUAGGUUAGCUGGGUUAGGUUAGAUAGUGAUGUAGGUUAGUUGGGUUUGGUUAGAUAGUGAUGUAGGUUAGUUGGGUUAGGUUAGAUAGUGAUGUAGGUUAGUUGGGUUAGGUUAGAUAGUGAUGUAGGUUAGCUGGGUUAGGUUAGAUAGUGAUGUAGGUUAGCUGGAUUAGGUUAGAUAGUGAUGUAGGUUAGUUGGGUUAGGUUAGAUAGUGAUGUAGGUUAGCUGGAUUAGGUUAGAUAGUGAUGUAGGUUAGCUGGGUUAGGUUAAAUAGUGAUGUAGGUUAGUUGGGUUAGGUUAGAUAGUGAUGUAGGUUAGAUGGGUUAGGUUAGAUUGUGAUGUAGGUUAGCUGGGUUAGGUUAGAUAGUGAUGUAGGUUAGCUGGGUUAGGUUAGAUAGUGAUGUAGGUUAGCUGGAUUAGGCUAGAUAGUGAUUUAGGUUAGCUGGGUUAUGUUAGAUAGUGAUGUAGGUUAGUUGGGUUAGGUUAGAUAGUGAUGUAGGUUAGAUGGGUUAGGUUAGAUUGUGAUGUAGGUUAGCUGGGUUAGGUUAGAUAGUGAUGUAGGUUAGCUGGGUUAGGUUAGAUAGUGAUGUAGGUUAGCUGAGUUAGGUUAGAUAGUGAUGUAGGUUAGCUGGGUUAGGUUUGAUAGUGAUGUAGGUUAGUUGGGUUAGGUUAGAUAGUGAUGUAGGUUAGCUGGGUUAGGUUAGAUAGUGAUGUAGGUUAGCUGGGUUAGGUUAGAUAGUGAUGUAGGUUAGUUGGGUUAGGUUAGAUAGUGAUGUAGGUUAGCUGGGUUAGGUUAGAUAGUGAUGUAGGUUAGCUGGGUUAGGUUAGAUAGUGAUGUAGGUUAGCUGGGUUAGGUUAGAUAGUGAUGUAGGUUUGCUUGGUUAGGUUAGAUAGUGAUGUAGGUUAGCUGGGUUAGGUUUGAUAGUAUUGUAGGUUAGUUGGGUUAGGUUAGAUAGUGAUGUAGGUUAGCUGGGUUAGGUUAGAUAGUGAUGUAGGUUAGCUGGGUUAGGUUUGAUAGUGAUGUAGGUUAGUUGGGUUAGGUUAGAUGGUGAUGUAGGUUAGCUGGAUUGGGUUAGAUGGUGAUGUAGGUUAGUUGGGUUAGGUUGGAUAGUGAUGUAGGUUAGCUGGGUUAAGUUAGAUAGUGAUGUAGGUUAGCUGGGUUAAGUUAGAUAGUGAUGUAGGUUAGCUGGGUUAGGUUAGAUAGUGAUGUAGGUUAGCUGGGUUAGGAUAGAUAGUGAUGUAGCUUAGCUGGGUUAGGUUAGAUAGUGAUGUAGGUUAGCAGGGUUAGGUUAGAUAGUGAUGUAGGUUAGCUGGAUUGGGUUAGAUAGUGAUGUAGGUUAGCUGGAUUGGGUUAGAUAGUGAUGUAGGUUAGCUGGGUUAGGUUAGAUAGUGAUGUAGGUUAGCUGGGUUAGGUUAGAUAGUAAUGUAGGUUAGCUGGAUUGGGUUAGAUAGUGAUGUAGGUUACACGGGUUAGGUUAGAUAGUGAUGUAGGUUAGCUGGUUAAGGUUAGAUAGUGAUGUAGGUUAGCUGGGUUAGGUUAGGUAGUGAUGUAGGUUAGCUGGGUUAGGUAGUGAUGUAGGUGAGUUGGGUUAGGUUAGAUAGUGAUGUAGGUUAGCUGGGUUAGGUUAGAUAGUGAUGUAGGUUAGCUGGGUUAGGUUAGACAGUAAUGUAGGUUAGCUGGAUUGGGUUAGAUAGUGAUGUAGGUUACCUGGGUUAGGUUAGAUAGUGAUGUAGGUUAGCUGGUUAAGGUUAGAUAGUGAUGUAGGUUAGCUGGGUUAGGUUAGGUAGUGAUGUAGGUUAGCUGGGUUAGGUAGUGAUGUAGGUUAGUUGGGUUAGGUUAGAUAGUGAUGUAGGUUAGCUGGGUUAGGUUAGAUAGUGAUGUAGGUUAGUUGGGUUAGGUUAGAUAGUGAUGUAGGUUAGCUGGGUUAGGUUAGAUAGUGAUGUAGGUUAGCUGGAUUGGGUUAGAUAGUGAUGUAGGUUAGCUGGAUUGGGUUAGAUAGUGAUGUAGGUUAAUUGGGUUAGGUUAGAUAGUGAUGUAGGUUAGCUGGGUUAGGUUUGA
This is a long non-coding RNA of Astyanax mexicanus (Mexican tetra), 4454 nucleotides long. RefSeq lists it as uncharacterized. NCBI's taxonomy places the organism in Eukaryota, Metazoa, Chordata, Actinopteri, Characiformes, Acestrorhamphidae. The transcript is spliced from 5 exons. The record is from RefSeq and is a predicted model, not a curated record.